This 107-nucleotide small nuclear RNA is filed under the name Panthera tigris altaica (Amur tiger). The record is from RNAcentral. Lineage: Eukaryota; Metazoa; Chordata; Mammalia; Carnivora; Felidae.
GUGCUCACUUCGGCAGCACAUAUACUAAAAUUGGGACAAUACAGAGAAGAUUAGCAUGACCCCUGUGCAAUGAUGCCAUGCAAAUUCGUGAAGCAUUCCGUAUUUAA